Molecule: ribosomal RNA, 646 nt
Filed under: Enterobacteriaceae bacterium
Lineage: Bacteria; Pseudomonadati; Pseudomonadota; Gammaproteobacteria; Enterobacterales; Enterobacteriaceae
Description: bacterial SSU rRNA
Rfam family: Bacterial small subunit ribosomal RNA
Source: RNAcentral
GCAGGGCGAGCCUGGAGCAGCCAUGCCGCGUGUAUGAGAAGGCCUUCGGGUUGUAAAGUACUUUCAGCGAGGAGGAAGGGAUUAAGGUUAAUAACCGUGUCAGUGACGUUACUCGCAGAAUAAGCACCGGCUAACUCCGUGCCGCAGCCGCGGUAAUACGGAGGGUGCAAGCGUUAAUCGGAAUUACUGGGCGUAAAGCGCACGCAGGCGGUUUGUUAAGUCUGAUGUGAAAUCCCCGGGCUCACCCUGGGAACUGCAUUCAAUACUGGUAAGCUAGAGUCUUGUAGAGGGGGGUAGAAUUCCAGUGUAUCGGUGAAAUGCGUAGAGAUCUGGUGGAAUACCGGUGGAGUAAGCGGCCCCCUGGACACAUACUGACGCUCAUGUGCGAAAGCGUGGGGAGCAAACAAGAUUAGAUACCCUGGUAGUCCACCCCGUAUACUCAUGUCUACUAGAAGAUGGCUCCCUUGAUGAGUGGUCUUCUUGGAGCUAACGCUUAAAGUCCACCGCCUGGUAGAUUACUGCCGCAAGGUUAAUAACUCACAUGAAUUGACGGGUGCCCUCACAUUGCGCGUGGAGCAUGUGCUUUAAUUCGAUGCAAACCCGUUUAACUUUAUCUACUCUUUGAACAACCUUAAAUCUUUCUUUA